Molecule: ribosomal RNA, 497 nt
Filed under: uncultured bacterium
Lineage: Bacteria
Description: partial 16S ribosomal RNA
Rfam family: Bacterial small subunit ribosomal RNA
Source: RNAcentral
GAUGAACGCUGGCGGCGUGCCUAAUACAUGCAAGUCGAGCGAACAGACGAGGAGCUUGCUCCUCUGACGUUAGCGGCGGACGGGUGAGUAACACGUGGAUAACCUACCUAUAAGACUGGGAUAACUUCGGGAAACCGGAGCUAAUACCGGAUAAUAUAUUGAACCGCAUGGUUCAAUGGUGAAAGACGGUUUUGCUGUCACUUAUAGAUGGAUCCGCGCCGCAUUAGCUAGUUGGUAAGGUAACGGCUUACCAAGGCAACGAUGCGUAGCCGUCCUGAGAGGGUGAUCGGCCACACUGGAACUGAGACACGGUCCAGACUCCUACGGGAGGCAGCAGUAGGGAAUCUUCCGCAAUGGGCGAAAGCCUGACGGAGCAACGCCGCGUGAGUGAUGAAGGUCUUCGGAUCGUAAAACUCUGUUAUUAGGGAAGAACAAAUGUGUAAGUAACUAUGCACGUCUUGACGGUACCUAAUCAGAAAGCCACGGCUAACUACGUG